RNAcentral lists this ribosomal RNA (460 nucleotides) under uncultured bacterium. RNAcentral's name for it is "partial 16S ribosomal RNA". It matches the Rfam family "Bacterial small subunit ribosomal RNA", at positions 338 to 795 of the family's 1533-position model. The record is from RNAcentral.
CCUACGGGAGGCAGCAGUGAGGAAUAUUGGUCAAUGGACGAGAGUCUGAACCAGCCAAGUAGCGUGAAGGAUGACUGCCCUAUGGGUUGUAAACUUCUUUUAUAUGGGAAUAAACUGUUCCACGUGUGGGAUUUUGUAUGUACCAUAUGAAUAAGGAUCGGCUAACUCCGUGCCAGCAGCCGCGGUAAUACGGAGGAUCCGAGCGUUAUCCGGAUUUAUUGGGUUUAAAGGGAGCGUAGGUGGAUUGUUAAGUCAGUUGUGAAAGUUUGCGGCUCAACCGUAAAAUUGCAGUUGAAACUGGCAGUCGUGAGUACAGUAGAGGUGGGCGGAAUGCGUGGUGUAGCGGUGAAAUGCUUAGAUAUCACGAAGAACUCCGAUUGCGAAGGCAGCUCACUGGACUGCAACUGACACUGAGGCUCGAAAGUGUGGGUAUCAAACAGGAUUAGAUACCCUAGUAGUC